UUGUGUCCGAAGGGAAAUAAAAAGUAACCCAAUCGAACGGUCGUCGCGUCGUGUAAAUAUCGUGUGGUUUUCUCUCUCUCUCUUUCUCUCAUGCAUACUCUGGAAAAAGGCGUCCGACGUGUUCGCUGACAAAGGGACGAUCCAUUUAAAAGCCAAACGCAUGUAUACCGUGGGGACACGCAACGGAAUAAUGAAUAUUUUUCAAAAUUAACAGGGGUAUUAUGUGUUGUAUCAAUUGGGUUGCAAGCAACUGACCUGGCCACGACGACA
Non-coding RNA from Cinara cedri, 270 nucleotides. The record is from the annotation of a GenBank genome assembly. Lineage: Eukaryota; Metazoa; Arthropoda; Insecta; Hemiptera; Aphididae.